Molecule: ribosomal RNA, 221 nt
Filed under: uncultured bacterium
Lineage: Bacteria
Description: partial 16S ribosomal RNA
Source: RNAcentral
CUGCAUAUCGAUUAAGUGGUAACUUCCAUACAGUUUCAUACAGCUACCUUGUGACAAGAGGAACCCCACACGAAAACAUCUUGGGCACCUCCCUCCUUGCGGUUAACAUACCGACUUCUGGAGAAACCCGCUCCCAUGUUGUGACAGGCGGUGUGUACAAUACCCGGGAAAUAUUCACCCCUACAUGCUGAUAAGGUUAUAAGAGUUCCCCAUAGUUGUGU